CGGCCCAUUCCUACUAUAUUUGUUGUGAUAUCUUAGGUUUUUAAGUUGUUUUUAUGUUAUUUUUUGUAAAAUAUUUUAGUUUUUUUAUGUUUUCUUAUGGUAUCAAAAAUUUGUUUUUUGAACUGGAUUAGUACCCAGGUAAUCAAAAUUUAAUAAUUCGGGAGUAAAGUUUUGUUUAAACCGAAAAAAUAUUGACUGACUUUAGAUUUUUCUUUGGAACAUGUGAUUUGCUGGAGAGCCCUCUUUUUUGGUGAGUUUUAUUGGCACAUGUAUGAUUGUUUAGUUUUUAUUUUAUUUUGUAAUGCUUUUUUGUUUUGGCAUUUAAAACAGAUAUAUACUUGGCUUAUGAACUCAUGUUUCAUGUGUUACUAUUAUAAAUUUUUUUUGGAUUAAUUUUUUAUUUUUUUUUUGAAAUUGGAAAAGAAAGUAAUUUUUUUUUGAUGUUUUAAUGAAUUUAAUGAAUAGAGUGGUACAAAAACCCCCCCCCAAUAUAAA
RNAcentral lists this ribosomal RNA (495 nucleotides) under Onchocerca fasciata. Its description in RNAcentral is "partial small subunit ribosomal RNA". The record is from RNAcentral. Lineage: Eukaryota; Metazoa; Nematoda; Chromadorea; Rhabditida; Onchocercidae.